This 103-nucleotide non-coding RNA is filed under the name Carnobacterium maltaromaticum. Its description in RNAcentral is "TPP sequence". It matches the Rfam family "TPP riboswitch aptamer (THI element)". From Rfam's summary of the family: Vitamin B(1) in its active form thiamin pyrophosphate (TPP) is an essential coenzyme that is synthesised by coupling of pyrimidine and thiazole moieties in bacteria. The previously detected thiamin-regulatory element, thi box was extended, resulting in a new, highly conserved RNA secondary structure, the THI element, which is widely distributed in eubacteria and also occurs in some archaea. Analysis of operon structures identified a large number of new candidate thiamin-regulated genes, mostly transporters, in various prokaryotic organisms. RNAcentral also lists the same sequence under 1 other name. Lineage: Bacteria; Bacillati; Bacillota; Bacilli; Lactobacillales; Carnobacteriaceae. The record is from RNAcentral.
ACCAUCACAAAGGGGUGCUGUUUUCAGCUGAGAUUGAAUCUUUGAUUCUAACCCUUCGAACCUGUUCGUUAGUACGAGCGUAGGGAUUGUGACGGGGCGAAGU